UACAGAGGUCCCAAGCGUUGUUCGGAUUCACUGGGCGUAAAGGGUGCGUAGGCGGUCGGGUAAGUCUGAUGUGAAAUCUCGGAGCUUAACUCCGAAACUGCAUUGGAUACUAUUCGGCUUGAGGAAUGGAGGGGAGACUGGAAUGCUCGGUGUAGCAGUGAAAUGCGUAGAUAUCGAGCGGAACACCAGUGGCGAAGGCGAGUCUCUGGACAUUUCCUGACGCUGAGGCACGAAAGCCAGGGGAGCAAACGGG
Molecule: ribosomal RNA, 253 nt
Filed under: uncultured bacterium
Lineage: Bacteria
Description: partial 16S ribosomal RNA
Rfam family: Bacterial small subunit ribosomal RNA
Source: RNAcentral